This is a long non-coding RNA of Aotus nancymaae (Ma's night monkey), 934 nucleotides long. NCBI's taxonomy places the organism in Eukaryota, Metazoa, Chordata, Mammalia, Primates, Aotidae. The record is from Ensembl.
UGAAUUGCAAAUUAACAAACAGAAAGAAAAACUCAAGUUGCAAAAAGAUAGUCACAGAGACAGCAGUAACACCUUCUGGCUACAGUCUAUUUUCGUCUUUCUCAUCCUAGUGUUAUCAAGAGAAAAACAGUCUUAGAUGCAGCAUAAAAAUUUCAGAGACAGAAGAGAUUUUCCUUUGAGGGCAGUCAGACUUAUAAAGGAGGCUGCUGGCAGGAAUUCACUCUCUUUUCGCUGUUCUGCCUUCCACUGCAUGAGGACACAGCAAGAAAGCCCUCAUCAGACACCAACUGCCAACACCUAGAUCUUGGAAUUCCCAGUCUCCAAAACUGUGAGAAAUACGUUUCUAUUUUUCUAUAAAUGAAAAAAAAAAAAAUUCCAUGCACGAAAAAAAAUCAAGUUUGAGGGUCCUGCAGUGAGGGCAUCCCAGCUUUGUUUGAGAAGCAGCAAGCAUGCCUGUGUGACUGUGAUGAAAGAAUAAAAGAGAUAUUCACACAGAAGAAUGUAAUGUAGGCCUUUUCACUUUAAGCCAGAAAUUUGGCUUCAACUCUAAAUGUGAUAGGAAGAAAAUAGAAGGUUCCAAACUGAGAAGUUACAUAAUAUGAUAUGUUUUAACAUAAUCACCUUUGUUACCAUAUGGCAAAUAAAAUGAAAGUGCUUCAAGGGCAGAAAUAGGAAGGCAAGUUAUGAGGUUAUUUCAAUAAUCCAGAGGAGCUAGGAUGGUGACAAAGCAGUAUGGUAGCAAUCGAUUGGGUGACAAUGUGGAAUCCUGGGUAUAUAUUAAAGGUUCAGUAAAAAAGGAUUUAUAGAUGAAACAGAUACAGGUAGUGAGAAAGAGUCAAGUUAAAGAUUAUUUCAGUAUUUUUGAUCUGAACAACCUAGAAGUGUUGUGGUAAAUCCUACCCCAUCAAUAUACAUCAGCAAUAACUGAGUGGGG